This 429-nucleotide ribosomal RNA is filed under the name Chloroflexota bacterium. RNAcentral's name for it is "Chloroflexi bacterium partial 16S ribosomal RNA". It matches the Rfam family "Bacterial small subunit ribosomal RNA", at positions 355 to 776 of the family's 1533-position model. Lineage: Bacteria; Bacillati; Chloroflexota. The record is from RNAcentral.
UGGGGAAUAUUGCACAAUGGGCGCAAGCCUGAUGCAGCCAUGCCGCGUGUAUGAAGAAGGCCUUCGGGUUGUAAAGUACUUUCAGCGGGGAGGAAGGGAGUAAAGUUAAUACCUUUGCUCAUUGACGUUACCCGCAGAAGAAGCACCGGCUAACUCCGUGCCAGCAGCCGCGGUAAUACGGAGGGUGCAAGCGUUAAUCGGAAUUACUGGGCGUAAAGCGCACGCAGGCGGUCUGUCAAGUCGGAUGUGAAAUCCCCGGGCUCAACCUGGGAACUGCAUUCGAAACUGGCAGGCUAGAGUCUUGUAGAGGGGGGUAGAAUUCCAGGUGUAGCGGUGAAAUGCGUAGAGAUCUGGAGGAAUACCGGUGGCGAAGGCGGCCCCCUGGACAAAGACUGACGCUCAGGUGCGAAAGCGUGGGGAGCAAACAGG